CCUACGGGAGGCAGCAGUGAGGAAUAUUGGUCAAUGGACGCGAGUCUGAACCAGCCAAGCAGCGUGAAGGAUGACUGCCCUAUGGGUUGUAAACUUCUUUUAUAAGAGAAUAAAGUCAGGCACGCGUGUCUGUUUGUAAGUAUUUUAUGAAUAAGGAUCGGCUAACUCCGUGCCAGCAGCCGCGGUAAUACGGAGGAUCCGAGCGUUAUCCGGAUUUAUUGGGUUUAAAGGGUGCGUAGGUGGGUUGUUAAGUCAGUUGUGAAAUUUUGAGGCUCAACCUUGAAAUUGCAUUUGAUACUGUCAGGCUAGAGAGCAGUUGCGGUAGGCGGAAUGUGUGGUGUAGCGGUGAAAUGCUUAGAGAUCACGCAGAACUCCGAUUGCGAAGGCAGCUUACUAAGCUGCCACUGACAUUGAGGCUCGAAAGUGUGGGUAUCAAACAGGAUUAGAUACCCUGGUAGUC
Molecule: ribosomal RNA, 460 nt
Filed under: uncultured bacterium
Lineage: Bacteria
Description: partial 16S ribosomal RNA
Rfam family: Bacterial small subunit ribosomal RNA
Source: RNAcentral